CAUCGGCGACCGGGCCCCUCUGGCAGGACGUGCGCGCACGACUGUGAUGUCGGAGCCGAUGC
This is a non-coding RNA of Microvirga lotononidis, 62 nucleotides long. NCBI's taxonomy places the organism in Bacteria, Pseudomonadati, Pseudomonadota, Alphaproteobacteria, Hyphomicrobiales, Methylobacteriaceae. The record is from Rfam.